Molecule: non-coding RNA, 135 nt
Organism: Fusibacter sp. 3D3
Lineage: Bacteria; Bacillati; Bacillota; Clostridia; Eubacteriales; Fusibacteraceae
Source: Rfam
UAGCUGGUGAAAGUCCAGUCACGGUAAUUGCCAAGAAGCCGUGUAGUCAGUCCCAGUGCGUCGCAGUAAUGCGGGGUGCUAAGCGGGAUGAUGGCUCAUAGUUAUGAGUCGACAAAGAUACAGGUUGCAACAUUA